UGGGGAAUAUUGGGCAAUGGGGGGAAACCCUGACCCAGCAACGCCGCGUGGAGGAAGAAGGUUUUCGGAUCGUAAACUCCUGUCCUCAGGGAAGAGAAGAAGACGGUACCUGAGGAGGAAGCCCCGGCUAACUACGUGCCAGCAGCCGCGGUAAUACGUAGGGGGCAAGCGUUGUCCGGAAUGAUUGGGCGUAAAGGGCGCGUAGGCGGCUCGGUAAGUCUGGAGUGAAAGUCCUGCCUUCAAGGUGGGAAUUGCUUUGGAUACUGUCGGGCUUGAGUGCAGGAGAGGUAAGUGGAAUUCCCAGUGUAGCGGUGAAAUGCGUAGAGAUUGGGAGGAACACCAGUGGCGAAGGCGACUUACUGGACUGUAACUGACGCUGAGGCGCGAAAGUGUGGGGAGCAAACAGGAUUAGAUACCCUGGUAGU
RNAcentral lists this ribosomal RNA (425 nucleotides) under uncultured bacterium. RNAcentral's name for it is "bacterial SSU rRNA". It matches the Rfam family "Bacterial small subunit ribosomal RNA", at positions 355 to 794 of the family's 1533-position model. The record is from RNAcentral.